RNAcentral lists this ribosomal RNA (465 nucleotides) under uncultured bacterium. RNAcentral's name for it is "partial 16S ribosomal RNA". It matches the Rfam family "Bacterial small subunit ribosomal RNA", at positions 338 to 795 of the family's 1533-position model. The record is from RNAcentral.
CCUACGGGUGGCAGCAGUAGGGAAUCUUCGGCAAUGGACGAAAGUCUGACCGAGCAACGCCGCGUGAGUGAAGAAGGUUUUCGGAUCGUAAAACUCUGUUGGUAGAGAAGAACGUUGGUGAGAGUGGAAAGCUCAUCAAGUGACGGUAACUACCCAGAAAGGGACGGCUAACUACGUGCCAGCAGCCGCGGUAAUACGUAGGUCCCGAGCGUUGUCCGGAUUUAUUGGGCGUAAAGCGAGCGCAGGUGGUUUAUUAAGUCUGGUGUAAAAGGCAGUGGCUCAACCAUUGUAUGCAUUGGAAACUGGUAGACUUGAGUGCAGGAGAGGAGAGUGGAAGUCCAGGUGUAGCGGUGAAAUGCGUAGAUAUAUGGAGGAACAUCAGUGGCGAAGGCGACUAUCUGGCACAUAACUGACGCUGAGGAGCGAAAGCGUGGGUAGCAAACAGGAUUAGAUACCCCAGUAGUC